This is a long non-coding RNA of Clupea harengus (Atlantic herring), 468 nucleotides long. The record is from Ensembl. Lineage: Eukaryota; Metazoa; Chordata; Actinopteri; Clupeiformes; Clupeidae.
GGAGAGAGAGAGAGGGAGAAAGAGGAAGAGAGUGAGAGAGUGAGAGAUAGAGAGAGAGAGAGAGAGAAGAGGAGGAAGAGGAAGGGAUUCUGCGUGUCACUGCCUGGAUCACAAUAGAUUCCUAGAAGCUUCGCUCCAGUGAUGUGUGCCAACGGUUAAGAUGGAGAUUGACACUCUGGAGUGUGCGGCACGCCACUUGGAUGUCCCCUGCCGUCUCAGACCAGCUCUGCACCGCAGCAGUCACGGAGUACCUCAGGGUCAACAUGCGCAAUUACACAAAACAACAACACAACAACAAAAAACACUAGUAGAACAAAAUUCUUAAUCAUACACAUUUCUUGCUCUGCCCCUAACAGAACAAAAAUAUUCCCAUUAUAAAUCCGUAUUUGCAUUGGUAUAAAGCUCUCACAUUAGACUGAGGAGGAGCAGGCCGUCUCCAGAAAUACCUGGUGGCGGUGGCGGUGGUGG